GCCGCGGUAAAACGUAGGACGCGAGCGUUAUCCGGAUUUACUGGGCGUAAAGCGCACGUAGGCGGCCCGUUAAGUCUCUUGGUGAAAGGCCGGGGCUCAACCCCGAGCAUGCCGGGGAUACUGGGGGGCUGGAGACAGGCAGAGGCCAGCGGAAUUCCGGGUGUAGCGGUGGAAUGCGUAGAGAUCCGGAAGAACACCGGAGGCGAAGGCGGCUGGCUGGGCCUGAUCUGACGCUGAGGUGCGAAAGCGUGGGGAGC
RNAcentral lists this ribosomal RNA (257 nucleotides) under uncultured bacterium. Its description in RNAcentral is "partial 16S ribosomal RNA". It matches the Rfam family "Bacterial small subunit ribosomal RNA", at positions 514 to 769 of the family's 1533-position model. The record is from RNAcentral.